RNAcentral lists this ribosomal RNA (468 nucleotides) under uncultured bacterium. RNAcentral describes it as "partial 16S ribosomal RNA". It matches the Rfam family "Bacterial small subunit ribosomal RNA", at positions 28 to 507 of the family's 1533-position model. The record is from RNAcentral.
GACGAACGCUGGCGGCGUGCCUAACACAUGCAAGUCGAACGGCAAGGCCCUGCUUGUGUGGGGUGCUCGAGUGGCGAACGGGGGAGUAACACGUGAGUAACCUGCCCUUGUUUUUGGGAUAACUUCAGGAAACUGGGGCUAAUACCGGAUAGGAGAUCCCGCUGCAUGGUGGGCGGUGGAAAGUUUCGGCGGGCGGGGAUGGACGCGCGGCUGAUCAGCUAGUUGGUGGGGUAGUGGCGUACCAAGGCAUUGACGGGUAGCCGGCCUGUGAGUGUGACCGGCCACAGUGGGACUGAGGAGCGGCCCGUAGUGCAUCGGGGGGCAGCGGUGGGAAAUUUUGCCCAAUGGGCGGAGUCCGUGUGCAGCAACGCCGCGUGCGGGAUGACGGCUGUCGGGUUGGAAACCGCGUUCGCCUGUGACGAAGCGUGAGUGCCGGUACUGGAUAAUAAAGCACCGGCUAACUACGUG